This 465-nucleotide ribosomal RNA is filed under the name Vreelandella stevensii. Its description in RNAcentral is "partial 16S ribosomal RNA". It matches the Rfam family "Bacterial small subunit ribosomal RNA", at positions 338 to 795 of the family's 1533-position model. The record is from RNAcentral. Lineage: Bacteria; Pseudomonadati; Pseudomonadota; Gammaproteobacteria; Oceanospirillales; Halomonadaceae.
CCUACGGGAGGCUGCAGUGGGGAAUAUUGGACAAUGGUGGCAACCCUGAUCCAGCCAUGCCGCGUGUGUGAAGAAGGCCCUCGGGUUGUAAAGCACUUUCAGUGAGGAAGAACGCCUGGUGGUUAAUACCCAUCAGGAAAGACAUCACUCACAGAAGAAGCACCGGCUAACUCCGUGCCAGCAGCCGCGGUAAUACGGAGGGUGCGAGCGUUAAUCGGAAUUACUGGGCGUAAAGCGCGCGUAGGUGGCUUGAUAAGCCGGUUGUGAAAGCCCCGGGCUCAACCUGGGAACGGCAUCCGGAACUGUCAAGCUAGAGUGCAGGAGAGGAAGGUAGAAUUCCCGGUGUAGCGGUGAAAUGCGUAGAGAUCGGGAGGAAUACCAGUGGCGAAGGCGGCCUUCUGGACUGACACUGACACUGAGGUGCGAAAGCGUGGGUAGCAAACAGGAUUAGAUACCCGAGUAGUC